This 253-nucleotide ribosomal RNA is filed under the name uncultured bacterium. Its description in RNAcentral is "partial 16S ribosomal RNA". It matches the Rfam family "Bacterial small subunit ribosomal RNA", at positions 524 to 776 of the family's 1533-position model. The record is from RNAcentral.
UACAGAGGUCUCAAGCGUUGUUCGGAUUCAUUGGGCGUAAAGGGUGCGUAGGCGGCGCGGUAAGUCGGGUGUGAAAUCUUGGAGCUUAACUCCGAAACUGCAUUCGAUACUGCCGUGCUUGAGGACUGGAGAGGAGACUGGAAUUUACGGUGUAGCGGUGAAAUGCGUAGAUAUCGUAAGGAAGACCAGGGGCGAAGGCGGGGCUCUGGACAGUUCCUGACGCUGAGGCACGAAGGCCAGGGGAGCAAACGGG